GGCCUGAUAGCACAGCGGCUAGUGCGUCUGCUUCAAGUGCGAAGUCCAUCCCGUAGCUCUCAGCUCUCAGCAGAAGACCCCCGUUCGACUCGGGGUCGGGCCA
Mycena latifolia is the source of this 103-nucleotide non-coding RNA. NCBI's taxonomy places the organism in Eukaryota, Fungi, Basidiomycota, Agaricomycetes, Agaricales, Mycenaceae. The record is from the annotation of a GenBank genome assembly.